GCAGUAACUGACAUGCAGUGAAAAGCCUUUCAAACGUUUUUUGUGAUUGGGUUGCUGUGGAUGCUGGAAUUUAGAGAAAAUUUCAAUGCAUUGAAUGGAUACUAAAUGCUAUUAGUACUGCUCUGCUGUACAUGUUUUGUUCAUUUUUAACUUGAAGCUGCCACCUUUUUCCCCCCUUUUUACUUGUUUUGCCCCAAACAAAGUAAUGAAGUGAAAAAUGAAUGGGGUAUAAGUUUCUAGCAAAAAGUUAUGUCAAUGUCUUCAUUUUAGAAUAAUGCUUUUAAGUUUAGCUGCGAAUGCAGAGCAUAAUGAAUUCGUUGUUAGAUCACCUGUUGACCUUAUACAACUGUAAAUUGUAUGACAGUUUAUGAUCUUGCUUAACAUUGCCAUUUCUUAGUCUCUUAGUUGGCUGUGUGUAUUCUCAGCACUAGCUUGUAAGUCUGCUGGUUCGAAGGUUGACUUUAUUCAGUUUUUUUACUAUUACAUGGAUUGAUUUGUCAUUGAAUUAGAUUAUAGGUGAUUGAUUUUACUAAAAUAAAACUAGUAUAUGUUUUGCAUUUCACUUGUAAGAUGUAACUGCCUAAGAACCUUAGUCGUUCCUUGUGUUACAUGGAUUCUAAGAAACUUGUGGACCUAUUGUUAUAUUUUGUCAUGGGCUUCUUAAUCAUUUGAUUUCAUAGUUCAACUGUAAUGUUACCACUGGGCUUAUAAAUAGGAUCCUAUUGUUUGGUUGAGAAAUUUGA
RNAcentral lists this unclassified non-coding RNA (743 nucleotides) under Hevea brasiliensis (rubber tree). The record is from RNAcentral. Lineage: Eukaryota; Viridiplantae; Streptophyta; Magnoliopsida; Malpighiales; Euphorbiaceae.